RNAcentral lists this ribosomal RNA (167 nucleotides) under uncultured bacterium. RNAcentral describes it as "partial 16S ribosomal RNA". It matches the Rfam family "Bacterial small subunit ribosomal RNA", at positions 1334 to 1500 of the family's 1533-position model. The record is from RNAcentral.
GCUAGUAAUGGCAGGUCAGCAUACUGCCGUGAAUACGUUCCCGGGCCUUGUACACACCGCCCGUCACACCAUGAGAGUUGGGGAUACCCGAAGCCUGUGAGCUAACAGUAAUGAAGCAGCAGUCGAAGGUAGAAUCAAUGAUUGGGGUGAAGUCGUAACAAGGUACC